AAUGUUCAUGCCACUUAUGUACACAAACAUUUUCACAUACAACUGUAUAUAAUAUAUAUAUAUAUAUAUAUAUAUAUAAUAUAUUUAUUUUAUUUAUACAGAACACUGGAAAAAUAUAAAAAAUGCUCACAGUUUUUGGAAUAUCAACAAUUUCAACAAAGAUAAAAUUAGCUUUUAUCUGGAUUCACAAAAUACUAUAUAUGAUAAAUACACAAACGAAAUAUGCAACGUUUCGUUAGAUUCAAUUGCACCCCCACAAGUUUGUCCAAAAACAAUAAAAAAAAAAUAACAUUUGUGUGAAAGCGCAUGUGCAUAGAAACACGAAUUUACAAUAUGUACGUACUUGUAUAAAUGUAUGCAUAUGUGCUUUUGUCAUUUUUUUUUUUUUUUUUUUUUAUUUUUUUUCCCCCUUUGUUUUAAGCAGUUUUUAUACUAUUUGGAUAACCCGAUAAACGUAAAAAGCACAUUCAAUGCUUGUAUGUCUAUGGCAUUAGACGAAAUAAUUCAAGAAAUAGAAAAUAAAAAAAACUUAGAUGAAUUUGAUGAAAAACAAAAAAAUACUUUAUUAAUUAUUAAAGAAAAAGCAAAUAAAAAGUAUUUUUCCUCCAUACGAAAAAUGGAAAAAAUACUAUCAAAAUUUUUAAAUGAAAAUAAGAAAAUGUCCUUUGAUUUUUUCCUAAGGGGAUGUGAAAGCUAUGGACAUGUACUAAUGAAAUGUAAAGAAAAAUUAUUUGUAACGUUUAACAAAACAUACGGCUUACAUUUUAAAAACUUCGAAGAUUUUUGGCUUCAUGAAGAAGAAAAAAGGAAAGAAAAAUGGAAAGAACUAUGGAUAUUAAAUGAAAUAGAAAAAAAAAAAUGUGUCACUUCAUAAAAAUGGUGAUGACUUAAAUACUGCAUCAAAUAAUUAUUACAAUGAAAAUAACAAUAAUAAUAAUAAUAAUAAUAACACUAGUAACAGUAAUAACAAUUGUGACCUUAGCAACAAUAACACAAAUAAUAUUUUUAAUAAAAACACAAAUGAAGACGACA
This 1032-nucleotide long non-coding RNA is filed under the name Piliocolobus tephrosceles (Ugandan red Colobus). RNAcentral describes it as "lncRNA (ENSPTEG00000020414.1)". Lineage: Eukaryota; Metazoa; Chordata; Mammalia; Primates; Cercopithecidae. The record is from RNAcentral.